AAUCCAUAGGUUAAUGAGGCGAACCGGGGGAACUGAAACAUCUAAGUACCCCGAGGAAAAGAAAUCAACCGAGAUUCCCCCAGUAGCGGCGAGCGAACGGGGAGGAGCCCAGAGCCUGAAUCAGCAUGUGUGUUAGUGGAAGCGUCUGGAAAGGCGCGCGAUACAGGGUGAGAGCCCCGUACACAAAAGCGCACGUGCUGUGAGCUCGAUGAGUAGGGCGGGACACGUGGUAUCCUGUCUGAAUAUGGGGGGACCAUCCUCCAAGGCUAAAUACUCCUGACUGACCGAUAGUGAACCAGUACCGUGAGGGAAAGGCGAAAAGAACCCCGGCGAGGGGAGUGAAACAGAACCUGAAACCGUGUACGUACAAGCAGUGGGAGCCCCACCACUAA
This 392-nucleotide ribosomal RNA is filed under the name Salmonella enterica. RNAcentral's name for it is "partial 23S ribosomal RNA". It matches the Rfam family "Bacterial large subunit ribosomal RNA", at positions 161 to 588 of the family's 2925-position model. The record is from RNAcentral. Lineage: Bacteria; Pseudomonadati; Pseudomonadota; Gammaproteobacteria; Enterobacterales; Enterobacteriaceae.